RNAcentral lists this ribosomal RNA (551 nucleotides) under Paraedessa subretangulata. RNAcentral's name for it is "partial large subunit ribosomal RNA". It matches the Rfam family "Archaeal large subunit ribosomal RNA", at positions 1890 to 2686 of the family's 2987-position model. The record is from RNAcentral. Lineage: Eukaryota; Metazoa; Arthropoda; Insecta; Hemiptera; Pentatomidae.
CCCUGUUUAAAAAAACCAUUUUUUAAUGUUAAUUUAUUUAUUAAGUUUGACCUGCUCAAUGAUUUUUUAUUAAAUAGCCGCAGUACUUUGACUGUGCAAAGGUAGCAUAAUCAUUUGUCUUUUAAUUGAAGGCUUGUAUGAAUGGUUUGAUGAAAAUUUAACUUUCUUUUUAUUAAUUUAUUGAAUUUAACUUUUUAGUGAAAAGGCUUAAAUUUUUAAAUGGGACGAGAAGACCCUAUAGAAUUUUAUUUUUAAUAAUAUUUUAAUAAUUGGAUUUUAUUUUUAUUUUAUUACUAAAAAUUUUGUUGGGGCGAUUGGAUGAUUUAUUUAACUCAUUUAUUUAAUAAAUUAUUGAUUAAUAAAUUAUUGAUCCUAUUUUUAGGAUAUUUAGAUUAAAUUACCUUAGGGAUAACAGCGUAAUUUCUUUGGAGAGUUCUUAUUGAUGAAGAAGUUUGCGACCUCGAUGUUGGAUUAAAAUAAGUUUUAAGUGCAGAAGCUUAAAUUUCUAGGUCUGUUCGACCUUUAAUAUUUUACAUGAUCUAAUUUCCACC